CUAAAAGCCAAAUUUAACAACACAUCCAGCCUCAGACUCAGCAACUAUACCCCGGACCAUUUGCAUCAUGCUUGGAGUAUACUGUUAGAAUACAGAAAGGCAGCUGUGUAAAGAAAUAAGGGUCAUGAAAUCUGAUGAAGAGUUUUGAGGUCAUGUACAAGAAGGUGGGAAAAUAAGGAGAUCAUCAGAAAAAAAAAAAGACUCAGAAGAAAACUAGUGGUUUUUUGUUGCUGUUUUGUGUUGUUUUUAUCAACUCUGUGCCAGCCACUCUGACAAUUCACAGAUGCCAUCUCAUUUGUAAAACCAUCUCAUCUGUAAAAAAGGCAUUAGGUAGGCGGAUCAAGGUUUACAUUCUCCAAGGAAGAAGGUCGAUGCCUGAGGGGUGUGUUGGAUCUUGAACAGUCCAGGAGGUGAUGGGAAACAUGGCCAAGCAAUAAAGAUGUGCCACAGGAUGAAUAGAAUUCACUGCCCAGAUUCACAUAGCCUUAUCAACAUAAGGUCCCUGGACUUUGGGACUCAUUCUGCUCAACUUGAUCCCCACUCUGCCCAUUGAUCACAUACACACGUUUACACCUGGCAGAAGAGGAAGAGGAGGCAUGAAUGAAUGGCCUCUUCAGAAUGGAGAAAAGCCUUCCCCAUGAGAACAUGCCUAAGACAGACUGCUGAAGAAGGCGGCAAGUGGAACAGCGUUGAAUCAGCCUGGUCAUCCCAGUCAAGCCUCCAGACAUGUAAGCACCCUCCUCUGAUCUGCAGAGCUGCCUGGCCCAAAUACUGUUGACCACUCUUGAGUAAGCCCCACCAAGAUCAGCUGAGAACAGUAGAACUGACCAGAUGACUCUAACCUCAUGAAUAAAUCCAAGUGUUUUUUUAUUUGCCUCUG
This 880-nucleotide long non-coding RNA is filed under the name Pan troglodytes (chimpanzee). Its description in RNAcentral is "long non-coding RNA NONPTRT017944". The record is from RNAcentral. Lineage: Eukaryota; Metazoa; Chordata; Mammalia; Primates; Hominidae.